Long non-coding RNA from Cebus imitator (Panamanian white-faced capuchin), 127 nucleotides. RefSeq lists it as uncharacterized. The record is from RefSeq and is a predicted model, not a curated record. NCBI's taxonomy places the organism in Eukaryota, Metazoa, Chordata, Mammalia, Primates, Cebidae. The transcript has 3 exons.
GCCAUAGGUAAUGAUUCUUAUGAUGGAUCUGGGCAAAGUAAACUGAAAACCUUUUGGAAAGGAUUCAACAUUCUAGAUGCUAUUCAGAACAUUUGUGAUUCAUGGGAAAAGGCAAAAUAUCUACAUC